This 338-nucleotide ribosomal RNA is filed under the name uncultured Rothia sp. RNAcentral describes it as "bacterial SSU rRNA". It matches the Rfam family "Bacterial small subunit ribosomal RNA", at positions 8 to 342 of the family's 1533-position model. The record is from RNAcentral. Lineage: Bacteria; Bacillati; Actinomycetota; Actinomycetes; Micrococcales; Micrococcaceae.
AGAGUUUGAUCCUGGCUCAGACGAACGCUGGCGGCGUGCUUAACACAUGCAAGUCGAACGAUGAAGCCUAGCUUGCUAGGUGGAUUAGUGGCGAACGGGUGAGUAAUACGUGAGUGACCUACCUUUGACUCUGGGAUAAGCCUGGGAAACUGGGUCUAAUACCGGAUACGACCAAUCUCCGCAUGGGGUGUUGGUGGAAAGCGUUAUGGAGUGGUUUUAGAUGGGCUCACGGCCUAUCAGCUUGUUGGUGAGGUAAUGGCUUACCAAGGCGACGACGGGUAGCCGGCCUGAGAGGGUGACCGGCCACACUGGGACUGAGACACGGCCCAGACUCCUAC